Molecule: ribosomal RNA, 482 nt
Filed under: uncultured bacterium
Lineage: Bacteria
Description: bacterial SSU rRNA
Rfam family: Bacterial small subunit ribosomal RNA
Source: RNAcentral
AGUGAACGCUGGCGGCGUGCUUAACACAUGCAAGUCGAACGGAUCAAAGUAGCUUGCUAUUUUGGUUAGUGGCGCACGGGUGAGUAAUGUAUAGCUAACCUGCCCUUUAGUGGGGGACAACAGUUGGAAACGACUGCUAAUACCCCAUACUCCUUCUUGCCAAAAGGUGAGUCGGGAAAGAUUUAUUGCUAAAGGAUGGGGCUUUAUUGUAUCAGCUAGUUGGUGGGGUAGCGGCCUACCAAGGCUAUGACGCAUACCUGGUCUGAGAGGAUGAUCAGGCACACUGGAACUGAGACACGGUCCAGACUCCUACGGGAGGCAGCAGUGGGGAAUAUUGCACAAUGGAGGAAACUCUGAUGCAGCAACGCUGCGUGGAGGAUGACGCAUUUCGGUGUGUAAACUCCUUUUAUAAGGGAAGAUAAUGACGGUACCUUAUGAAUAAGCACCGGCUAACUCCGUGCCAGCAGCCGCGGUAAAGUCAC